RNAcentral lists this ribosomal RNA (808 nucleotides) under uncultured bacterium. Its description in RNAcentral is "bacterial SSU rRNA". It matches the Rfam family "Bacterial small subunit ribosomal RNA", at positions 76 to 899 of the family's 1533-position model. The record is from RNAcentral.
CCCUUCGGGGUACUCGAGUGGCGAACGGGUGAGUAACACGUGGGUGAUCUGCCCUGCACUUUGGGAUAAGCCUGGGAAACUGGGUCUAAUACCGAAUAUGACCGCAUGCUUCAUGGUGUGUGGUGGAAAGCUUUUGCGGUGUGGGAUGGGCCCGCGGCCUAUCAGCUUGUUGGUGGGGUAAUGGCCUACCAAGGCGACGACGGGUAGCCGGCCUGAGAGGGUGACCGGCCACACUGGGACUGAGAUACGGCCCAGACUCCUACGGGAGGCAGCAGUGGGGAAUAUUGCACAAUGGGCGCAAGCCUGAUGCAGCGACGCCGCGUGAGGGAUGACGGCCUUCGGGUUGUAAACCUCUUUCAAUAGGGACGAAGCGCAAGUGACGGUACCUAUAGAAGAAGGACCGGCCAACUACGUGCCAGCAGCCGCGGUAAUACGUAGGGUCCGAGCGUUGUCCGGAAUUACUGGGCGUAAAGAGCUCGUAGGUGGUUUGUCGCGUUGUUCGUGAAAACUCACAGCUUAACUGUGGGCGUGCGGGCGAUACGGGCAGACUAGAGUACUGCAGGGGAGACUGGAAUUCCUGGUGUAGCGGUGGAAUGCGCAGAUAUCAGGAGGAACACCGGUGGCGAAGGCGGGUCUCUGGGCAGUAACUGACGCUGAGGAGCGAAAGCGUGGGGAGCGAACAGGAUUAGAUACCCUGGUAGUCCACGCCGUAAACGGUGGGUACUAGGUGUGGGUUCCUUCCUUGGGAUCCGUGCCGUAGCUAACGCAUUAAGUACCCCGCCUGGGGAGUACGGCCGCAAGGCUAAAA